AGUGGCGAACGGGUGAGUAAUACGUGAGUGACCUACCUUUGACUCUGGGAUAAGCCUGGGAAACUGGGUCUAAUACCGGAUACGACCAAUCUCCGCAUGGGGUGUUGGUGGAAAGCGUUAUGGAGUGGUUUUAGAUGGGCUCACGGCCUAUCAGCUUGUUGGUGAGGUAAUGGCUUACCAAGGCGACGACGGGUAGCCGGCCUGAGAGGGUGACCGGCCACACUGGGACUGAGACACGGCCCAG
RNAcentral lists this ribosomal RNA (244 nucleotides) under uncultured Actinomycetales bacterium. RNAcentral's name for it is "partial 16S ribosomal RNA". It matches the Rfam family "Bacterial small subunit ribosomal RNA", at positions 94 to 334 of the family's 1533-position model. Lineage: Bacteria; Bacillati; Actinomycetota; Actinomycetes; Actinomycetales. The record is from RNAcentral.